AUCAAGUCAUCAGACAUGAAUGGCGUGAUCAGCUCGGCAGUAGAAAUCAAAGAGGAGUUUGCUCCGCCAACGAGGAAACGGAGCUCGUCGAUUUCGAAUCGCAACCAACGGAGAGCAACCCCGCCAUCACUGGAUAGUGUUCUGAUGCAAACAGAAGGUCAGUCAUGGAAGAACAAAGAGCAGCCACAAUUCAUAAUGUACCUGUUAAGCUACUGAACGAUGAGCAUUGCGUUGCCGAGACAAACUUUAUUCCGAGUGAUAACGAGUCAACAUCGGCAUAUGGAAGGAUAGAGUUGUUGAUGGCGUUACUCUAGUGGACGUUGACACUGCGUCAACGACAUGUGUUUCAAUCAAAGGUGCACGAGAGGAGGCUGAUGGUGAGGAGAUGAAUUCGUCAUCAAACUGGUUGCGGCUGCACAGCUCGGAGGCGCUCGAGUCAAACAUAACGGUCGUGACAACGACUCACCCACCUGCCAUCCUGACGCAUCCAGCAACCAGCACACCCUCUAGACAACAGCCAAACAGAGCCGCAACUCCCAAUAGUCAAGUUAUAAUUGUAUCAAACGAACUCAACAAAACACAGGUGGAUGAUGCUGCAACAGACGAUGACAUCACUGUUGUGAGCCGCUUACAAGCUGGCGAAUCGCCAGCUGAAAUGAGUCAUGUUUCUGUCAUUACAGUGGGUGAAAACACUACUCCUCAAAGAAGGAUACAGGACAACUCGUUUUGGACUUCUGGUAAGCUUUCACAGUAUGUUUCUAGACUGCGAUAUAGUCAAGAGUCGGAUAAUUAGUAGGCAGAUGAACAUCAGCACGCAAAUGAAUC
Molecule: long non-coding RNA, 825 nt
Filed under: Bemisia tabaci
Lineage: Eukaryota; Metazoa; Arthropoda; Insecta; Hemiptera; Aleyrodidae
Description: lncRNA ENSSSA2NGG002190
Source: RNAcentral